AUACUCACUCCUCCUUCUAUGGAGGCAUCAAGAACAAGAACAAGAACAAUGGGGGUUUUCUCUAUUCUUCUCUUCCUCCUCUUUCUAUGGAGGUUUCAAUCUCCUCUCAUCUCCUUCUUCCCUAUCUUUCAAUCUACCCACGAACCCCAACACAAUUGUAUACGGAAUCCUCACUAAAUUCAACCUUCCUCAAGGGCUUUUACCGAUGAUGGAACAUUUGAAGUUUUACUGGUUAUGUAGAGUUCGAAUAUUUGGUUUAUUACGCUGAGAAGGUAACUGAGUCUUGGGUCGAUUACUGACUUAGAAGGAAUUGAAGUUAAGAGAUUCUUGGUGUGGUUAAAUGUGAAUGAGAUCCUUGAAGCUAAGUUUCAUUAACAAGAAGCUUGAUAUCAAACGGUUUGAAACUCUUCAUUCUUGUUUGGCCUUGUGUGGAGGAACAUCUCUGAGACAGACUCCCACUAUGCAAAAGUAUCCAAGUGAUAGAAGUAUGAAGUAUGGUGUAUCUACUAAGAUGACACAUUUUCAUGAGCAGGAUUAUGCAUGGAUUAGACGCAGGGUGCUAUUUCCAUUUAUGGAACAUGUAGACAGGUUUGUGAUAGGGGCAGACUGACUUGAACGACAGCUCUUCUGCUGAUCUUCGCUCUGCCACAGAAGAGGCGUUUCUUGCUGAAAAUGGUGUUGUUGAUAUGUUGAUGGUUGAAAUAAAUGCAGCAGUUGGUAAUCUAAACCAUCUCCGGUCUCUUCCCCAAGGAGUAUUCGAGGCCUGUGAUUCAAAUCAGGACCAAGAGUGUGACUCUCCAAGCCAGGCACGUUUCUGUUGAGUAAAUUGUUCUGUAUUGUUCCCAUAGCAAGAUAAUGAGAAAUUGUUUUCUCCAGAUUCUAAUAUUUACUCAUGGACUCUUGGUUUACUCAUUGUUUCUUGUCUUGUCUCUCUGACUGGAUUUGACAGAGCUACAAUUCUACUGCUCAAACUUCUUUGCCACAAAAGAUAAAUAAGAAAUAGGAGAAUUUGUUAUCUGGAUGCUUCCUCCUUUUUUAGGUUUUACUCAUCGUUUUAAUUUUACUUUUUUAAUUCACAACUUGCCUCAACACAAUGCCAAUUUUCUGUGAAAUUUAUUGAGAAGAAAGGACAAGUAGCGACACAGGCUGUUUCCCUUAGCUAAUGUUAACCAAGGAUAAAAAUGAUGGUAGCCUUCUCAGAGAAUUACUUUCUAUCUAAUUGGAAGAAUCCAUUACUCAACAACAUUAUUAAGAAGGUUGGCAAAAUUCAUUCAAGCUAAUUUUGUCUCAAAUGAUGUUUUGGGAUACUGUUGCUUGAAAUUUUGGGUAAUUGUGGACAGUUAAUAGGUGAGCACUUCUAUUAAUAUUAGAUAUGAAAAUCUCUACAACAGGUCAUCAUACAGUCCUUGAAUGUCAGUUGUUGGUGCCUUUAUUCACCCGUAAAAGAAGCUGGUUGUUAUACUGAUGAAGUUACUGUCUUAACUCUUAAGCAUAUUAUUUUCUAAUGACCUAUCUGAAGAGAUUACGGGAAAAUGCACAGGAUUUAAUUGUUUUUCUUGAUAAGUUAAAUGGUAGGACCCUGAGUCAGGGGGGUGAGAGUAUUUACUUUCAAGUUGGGUUUAUUAACAAAAAGCUUGAUAUCAAACCAUUUGAAACUCCUCGUUCUUGCCAGAACAAUGCUUUGGCCUUGUGUGGAGGACCAUAUUUGAGACAGGCUUGGGGCUGAAUCUGAACAAUGAAGAACAAGAUAAACCUGUCUGGUCCCCUACUACGGCGGGCAAUUUCACUGUGACAUAGGCAUGGAAUAUUUGUAGGCACAAGGGUAUUGACAGCACAGAUUUUAACAAAAUAUGGCAUAAAGACAUCCCUUUCAAAAUGUCCUUCUUAACUUGGAGAGCCAUUAUUAACAGACUUCCUACAGAUGCCAAGAUUGCAAGGCUUGGUAUCCCUUUAUCUCCCACUUUCUAUUGUUGCACUAACAAUAAUAUUCCUACCACUCUGGAAAGUGCAGAACAUAUUUUCUAUGCAGGUGAACACGCAAAGAAGAUUUGGAGACUAUAUGCAACGCCCAUUGGGAUAGAGUACACCAACAUUAAUUUGAAGAACCUACUAAAAAAUGGUGGACUAAGAAAGUCCUCAAUCCGGUGGCAUCAUACAUCACAAGAGGGUUGCCCAUGUUUAUCUGUUGGGAGUUAUGGAGGAGCAGAUGCAAUCAUAAAUAUGAAACAAUUAAGCCCUCUGUGUAUAGAUCAAAAAGAAACAUUACUAACAUUUUGUUUUUCACUUUGCAGUCAAAUUUUGACAGGAUUAAAGUUGAGAACUCUUGGGAGAACAUUAACCAAAUAUUUGACGUCUCUAUUAAUCAUAAAAAUGCCAUAAGAGUGAAUUGGAUCAGACUACCAACUAUGUUUGCUAAACUUAAUACUAAUGGAUCUUGUGUUAAUGGCAGGUGUGGUGGAGGUGGAAUUCUGAGGAACGCCUUGGGACAAGUCAUCAUGGCCUUCACUAUAAAUCUUGGAGAAGGAACCAGCAGUUGGGCUGAAGCCAUGUCCAUGCUACACGGAAUGCAACUAUGCAUACAAAGAGGAGUAAAUAUGAUCAUCGGAGAAACAGACUCCAUUCUACUUGCUAAAGCUAUCACUAAAAGUUGGAGUAUCCCUUGGAGAAUGUACAUCCCAGUUAAGAAGAUUCAAAAGAUAGUUGAAGAGCAUGGUUUCACCAUCAAUCACUGCCUUAGAGAGGCAAAUCAACCUGCGAACAAACUUGCUUCAAUUAGCCUCUCAACUGAUGUUAACCAAGUCUUCAACUCUUAUACUAAUCUUCCUAGUCUUGUUAAGGGCCUUGUAAAUUUGGAUAGAAUGAAUUUGCCCACCUUCAGAUCAAAAAGAACAAAGGAUGCCAACCUUAUUUUUGAACCUCCUUAGAUUAGUAGCCAGUGACUUCCACUGGCCUUUGUACAGCCUUAUUUUUUACUAAGUGCUCAUUAAGCAUCGAAGGUACAAGUUUGGUAUGACAAACUUCAAAGUGUGUAUCCUUAUCUCAUCAAUGAAAGGCCAGCUUUUG
Solanum tuberosum (potato) is the source of this 3063-nucleotide long non-coding RNA. RefSeq lists it as uncharacterized. The transcript has 3 exons. The record is from RefSeq and is a predicted model, not a curated record. NCBI's taxonomy places the organism in Eukaryota, Viridiplantae, Streptophyta, Magnoliopsida, Solanales, Solanaceae.